GAUCAUUAAUGAAAUNGUUUGUCGUAGAAGGGUUGUAGCUGGCCCCCAAGGGCACGUGCACACCUGGAUCGCAUCCACCUCCAACACCUGUGCACAACCUGUAGCUUGGGAUGAUCACGGGGCCCUUGUCGGCCGCGAAUGCCCCUGUCUACGAAUAUUUUUACACACACAACUAGUCACAGGGAAUGCACACACGAAGCGUCUAACAAACGCGACAAAUACAACUUUCAACAACGGAUCUCUUGGCUCUCGCAUCGAUGAAGAACGCAGCGAAAUGCGAUAAGUAAUGUGAAUUGCAGAAUUCAGUGAAUCAUCGAAUCUUUGAACGCACCUUGCGCUCCUUGGUAUUCCGAGGAGCAUGCCUGUUUGAGUGUCAUGAAAUUCUCAACUGCCUCAAGUUCUUGUGGCGAGGUUGGACUUGGAGGACAUUGCUGGCGCAUGCUCCGUGCAUGCUUGUCGGCUCCUCUUGAAUGCAUGAGCUUUCCAAUCCUUGGCAAAGUAUCGUCGAUGUGAUAGUUAUCAGCGUCGUCCGAGAAAAGCGUGUAAGGGGAAAUCUACGAUCGCAUCGGCCCUUUGGGGUUCCGUGUCUGAAAAAUUCGACCUCAAAUCAGGUAGG
This 616-nucleotide ribosomal RNA is filed under the name uncultured Thelephoraceae. RNAcentral's name for it is "eukaryotic LSU rRNA". The stretch from base 223 to 376 matches the Rfam family "5.8S ribosomal RNA". The record is from RNAcentral. Lineage: Eukaryota; Fungi; Basidiomycota; Agaricomycetes; Thelephorales; Thelephoraceae.